This 245-nucleotide ribosomal RNA is filed under the name uncultured bacterium. RNAcentral describes it as "partial 16S ribosomal RNA". It matches the Rfam family "Bacterial small subunit ribosomal RNA", at positions 524 to 768 of the family's 1533-position model. The record is from RNAcentral.
GACGAAGGUGGCGAGCGUUGUUCGGAAUCAUUGGGCUUAAAGCGCACGUAGGCGGCUCAUCAAGUGUCUUGUGAAAGCCCCCGGCUCAACCGGGGAAUUGCUGGGCAUACUGAUAGGCUUGAGGCAGGUAAGGGCGAGUGGAACUCUUGGUGGAGCGGUGGAAUGCGUAGAUAUCAAGAGGAACGCCGGUGGUGAAGACGAUUCGCUGGGCCUGUCCUGACGCUGAGGUGCGAAAGCCAGGGGAG